GUGGGGAAUAUUGCACAAUGGGCGCAAGCCUGAUGCAGCCAUGCCGCGUGUGUGAAGAAGGCCUUCGGGUUGUAAAGCACUUUCAGCGGGGAGGAAGGCAAUACGGUUAAUAACCGUGUUGAUUGACGUUACCCGCAGAAGAAGCACCGGCUAACUCCGUGCCAGCAGCCGCGGUAAUACGGAGGGUGCAAGCGUUAAUCGGAAUUACUGGGCGUAAAGCGCACGCAGGCGGUCUGUCAAGUCGGAUGUGAAAUCCCCGGGCUCAACCUGGGAACUGCAUUCGAAACUGGCAGGCUUGAGUCUUGUAGAGGGGGGUAGAAUUCCAGGUGUAGCGGUGAAAUGCGUAGAGAUCUGGAGGAAUACCGGUGGCGAAGGCGGCCCCCUGGACAAAGACUGACGCUCAGGUGCGAAAGCGUGGGGAGCAAACAGGAUUAGAAACCCUGGUAGUCC
This 450-nucleotide ribosomal RNA is filed under the name uncultured bacterium. RNAcentral describes it as "partial 16S ribosomal RNA". It matches the Rfam family "Bacterial small subunit ribosomal RNA", at positions 354 to 796 of the family's 1533-position model. The record is from RNAcentral.